UUUAUGGAGAGUUUGAUCCUGGCUCAGGAUGAACGCUGGCGGCGUGCCUAAUACAUGCAAGUCGAGCGAACGGACGAGAAGCUUGCUUCUCUGAUGUUAGCGGCGGACGGGUGAGUAACACGUGGAUAACCUACCUAUAAGACUGGGAUAACUUCGGGAAACCGGAGCUAAUACCGGAUAAUAUUUUGAACCGCAUGGUUCAAAAGUGAAAGACGGUCUUGCUGUCACUUAUAGAUGGAUCCGCGCUGCAUUAGCUAGUUGGUAAGGUAACGGCUUACC
Molecule: ribosomal RNA, 279 nt
Filed under: Staphylococcus aureus
Lineage: Bacteria; Bacillati; Bacillota; Bacilli; Caryophanales; Staphylococcaceae
Description: partial 16S ribosomal RNA
Rfam family: Bacterial small subunit ribosomal RNA
Source: RNAcentral